RNAcentral lists this long non-coding RNA (1393 nucleotides) under Homo sapiens (human). Its description in RNAcentral is "HSALNT0190180". The record is from RNAcentral. Lineage: Eukaryota; Metazoa; Chordata; Mammalia; Primates; Hominidae.
CAGGAUCUGCCGUGCAGCCCUAGACAGAGCUUUGAGCCAUCCUAGGUAAAAAUAAAGGUGAGAAAGAUCCAAGGAGAACAAUGCAAACCCAUCUGCCCUCUGUUCCCCACUCCUUGUCAAGCUUCAUUUCACCCCAGUGCAAGAACGGAAUCCACACAUAGGCAGAACAGUUGUCUGGAGAGCAAGGGUAGACUUAGAUCAUUCUUCUACACCAAAAAUGUAGGGGCCAAGUGUUGAUGUUUUCUGAAAAUGUUCUUUGGAGGAUGGUCCAGGGAAAGACCGGGUGACCGAGAGUGGCUCAGCUAGUCAUUCUGCUUACUUUGAAGCCAGGAAGAGUUUUUCAUUUGUGUGUGUGUGGUUUGGGGACCAUCAAAUACAUAUUCAUUGAACCAGUAGAUCAACACAAAGUUGCUCAAAGUGUGGAAUAUAAACUGAUGUUUGCCCAGGAAUCAUUUGUUACCAGUCUGUGGUGGUAAUUGAAGAGAGUCUGAGAAGCACUGCUUUAGAGCACCUGUUACAGGGACCCUGGACCUCAAGAGGACUUGGGAUCGACCUCCCCACCAAACUGACUGAGGACUGUGUAUUCUGCUGAUCUUCUGCAUAGCAACAGACCUGGUUUACCUUCAGAGACUCAUCAAACUAUCUGAGAGAAUGCAAUUCCUUUAAGAUCUCUUUUCUCUGUGUGUGUGUUUUUAAAUAUACUCUUGCAUUUUAGUAGUUAAUUGAGAUGGGAUUCAUGCAUGAGAGAUUUACUGAAUUUGUAUCUGAUUAGCCAGGGCCACUUUAUACUCUGUAAUUGUAGAUGUGGUUUUUAAACUGACAAUUGUAAGUUUGCAUGUAUUCUUUUUCUCCUAACUCUGUUUAGACUUUGUAUUCAGGAUAGAAAUUACCUUUUCUAAGAAGUUUUACCAAGCUGAGUGUAAAUCUAUAAUACCUCAGCAGUAAAACAAUCCCAGAGGGAUAAUUUUGUGCAACCAUUUCAAUCUUGAUACCAAUUAAAAUGGUAUGAUCUAUCUCACCGCCAUCACACAAAACAGGUUUCUAUGCCAUCUCCUCACCUCUUGCUUAGAGAAAACCAUCAGAUUGGUUCUAUUACACUCAGAUUUAAGAUCAAACAUCUUUUUUUCAGAGCUUUAUGGAUUCUAAUAACAAUAGAAAGUACUGAAAUAAGCCUAUUUUCGUGGCUGCCUUUCAAUCAGUAUGUAACACACUUUCCAUUUUGUCUUCACCAGAAAUAAAUUGUACUUUAAAUCUCUGCUCUCCUUAAAUAUUUCAAAUAUGUGGGAUAUGAUAUCAUCUCUAAAAAGGGAACUUCUUUAGAUGGCAUUGUUAGGAAGCCUUAGCAAAAGCAUUUUGCAAGCUAGUAACAUAAUUCUAGAACAGGUUUUAUUGC